Perca fluviatilis (European perch) is the source of this 253-nucleotide long non-coding RNA. RefSeq lists it as uncharacterized. The transcript has 3 exons. The record is from RefSeq and is a predicted model, not a curated record. Lineage: Eukaryota; Metazoa; Chordata; Actinopteri; Perciformes; Percidae.
AAUCUACUGUUAAUAAACUGGAGAAAUGCAGCUAAAAUGUGUGACUAAUAUGAUAUAUGAUAUGACUUGCAGGAAGAAGAUUUGACAACCAUUCAUGGUCACCGUGACAGCCCUUUAAAUUCUUCAGGAAAUGGACCAGAGCUCUUCUGACUCUACAGUGAUCCUUGAACUAAGUUCCGUCCCUGAAAAGGACAUAAGUGUUCCUGAACUCAAGAGAGCAGAAAGUGUAUUUGUUCAUCAACAAUGGCGAGAA